This is a long non-coding RNA of Ceratina calcarata, 1547 nucleotides long. RefSeq lists it as uncharacterized. The record is from RefSeq and is a predicted model, not a curated record. The transcript has 5 exons. NCBI's taxonomy places the organism in Eukaryota, Metazoa, Arthropoda, Insecta, Hymenoptera, Apidae.
GCCUACUACAAUCUUUGGUUACUUCACUUUUGUUCCGAUAAUACAAUUAAUUGCAAUAAUCAUACAUGAUCAAGUUUUAGAAGACAAGCCUAGAUUUAAAUUUCUAAAUUGCUGUUACAAACAUUUUAUUUUGCAUAAUAAAAUUGUAUUCUGUGCAGGUAUGCAAUUACCGAGGUGUACUAGACGCAAGUUGGAGGACUACGUUUCAAAACUUACAUUCUCACUAACAUUAUAAAAAAACAACGUAGUUAUAAUUGCAAAAUAAGAUCUAUCCGAAUAUUAAACAUAUAAAUAGAAGUUACUGAAAAUGCAUGAACUCAUUUAUGAAGAGUAUUCAUCAAGAGAUUGGAGAUCGAUAAGAAUGAUUACAAACCGAAUGCCGAACGUUGUCUUUAAGAGGGUUUUAGAAAAUCAGCAAACGCUAGUGAUGGACGACUUAUUUUUAGUAUUGAAGCGAACGUAUUCAAGAAGUAAUUUGCACCAAAACAAUACAAAGCUACAAGAGAAUGGAUAUCGAUAGGAAUCAUUACAAACCGAGUGUCGAGACUUCGACGUCUUAGAAAAUGAACAAACAAAAUAGAGAAUGUAACAAGCGAAUAAAAAAAUAUUCGGGAAGUAACUUGCACCAAAGCAGGACAAGAACAUCUCGGAAACAAACGGUAGUGCUGAACGCUCGUUUUCAUUAUUGAACCGAAUAAGAAAGUAUUCAAGAAAUAAUUUGUACCAAAAGCAAGACAGGAAAACUUAAUUGAUACGCAAAUAAAUGGCAAAUGCCGAAAAUAAACAAAAAAUGGGAUAGAAUACAAUACUAUUUAUUUGACACGCAGACGUUUUAUUGAGAGAGUGUUUGCUUGUACGAUUGUUCGAAUGUCGUAAAGUAAUAUUAGGUGAAGACAUGCUCUGGUAGGCCAAUCGUCGAAAACGUUGAUAAAAUCAUGGAAAUCGUCGAGUCAGACCGACAUGCGAGCACUUAUUCUAUUGCCUAGGAACUAAAGCGUAACGAAAUCAACCCAUUUUUUAAGAGGAUGGUGACAGGGGAUAAAAAAUGGGUCACAUACGAGAACAACACGCGAAGAAGAUCGUGGUCCAACAGCGGUGAGCCAGCCCAAACGAUCGCCAAGCCCGGAUUAACGAUCAAGAAGGUUUUACUGUGUGUUUGGUGAGAUUGAAAGGGAAUCCUCCACUAUGAGCUGCUUUUAUCGGACCAAUCACUCAAUUCGGACAUAUACUGUUAACAACUGACCAGAUUGAAGCAGGCGAUCGACGAGAAGCGUCCAGAAUUGGACAAUAGGAAGGGUGUUGUUUUCCAUCAAGACAACGCCAGACCGCACACAUCUUUAACAACGCGCCAGAAGAUCCGAGAGCUUGGAUGGGACGUUAUAUCGAACCCACCGUAUAGUCCAGACCUGGCACCAAGCGAUUAUCACCUUUUCAAACAUUUGCAAAAUCUUCUUGAUGGUAAAAAACUGGCUUCAAGAGAGGCCUGUGAAAAUGAGCUGGUCAAGUUUUUUACCACUAGGGACGAGGAUUUCUUCAAUCGCGGAAUU